Molecule: ribosomal RNA, 511 nt
Filed under: uncultured bacterium
Lineage: Bacteria
Description: partial 16S ribosomal RNA
Rfam family: Bacterial small subunit ribosomal RNA
Source: RNAcentral
AUUGAACGCUGGCGGCAUGCCUAACACAUGCAAGUCGAACGGCAGCACAAUAAAGAUUUCGGUCUUUAUGGGUGGCGAGUGGCGGACGGGUGAGUAACGCGUAGGAAUCUGUCCUGGAGAGUGGGAUAACCCGAGGAAACUCGGGCUAAUACUGCAUGACAUUGAGAGAUCAAAAGCAGGGGACCGAAAGGCCUUGCGCUCUGGGGUGAGCCUACGUCGGCUUAGCUAGUUGGUGGGGUAAAGGCCUACCAAGGCGACGAUCCGUAGCUGGUCUGAGAGGAUGACCAGCCACACUGGGGCUGUGACACGGCCCAGACUCCUACGGGAGGCAGCAGUGGGGAAUCUUGGACAAUGGGGGAAACCCUGAUCCAGCGAUGCCGCGUGUGUGAAGAAGGCCUUCGGGUUGUAAAGCACUUUAGGUGGGGAAGAAAGGUAGCGAGUGAAUAACUUUCUGCUGUGACGGUACCCACAGAAUAAGCACCGGCUAACUCUGUGCCAGCCGCCGCGGUAA